RNAcentral lists this ribosomal RNA (797 nucleotides) under uncultured Pelagibacteraceae bacterium. RNAcentral's name for it is "bacterial SSU rRNA". It matches the Rfam family "Bacterial small subunit ribosomal RNA", at positions 34 to 879 of the family's 1533-position model. The record is from RNAcentral. Lineage: Bacteria; Pseudomonadati; Pseudomonadota; Alphaproteobacteria; Candidatus Pelagibacterales; Candidatus Pelagibacteraceae.
CGCUGGCGGCACGCCUAACACAUGCAAGUCGAACGAAGUAGCAAUACUUAGUGGCAGACGGGUGAGUAACAUGUAGGUAUCUACCCUUUGGUUCGGAAUAACACGAGGAAACUUGUGCUAAUACCGAAUAAGUCUUUACGGAGAAAGCUUUAUGCGCCAUUGGAUGAGCCUGCACUUGAUUAGUUUGUUGGUGGGGUAAUGGCCUACCAAGACUAUGAUCAAUAGCUGAUUUGAGAGGAUGAUCAGCCACAUUGGGACUGAGACACGGCCCAAACUCCUACGGGAGGCAGCAGUGGGGAAUCUUGCACAAUGGGGGAAACCCUGAUGCAGCGAUGCCGCGUGAGUGAAGAAGGCCUUUGGGUUGUAAAGCUCUUUCGUCGGGGAAGAAAAUGACUGUACCCGAAUAAGAAGGUCCGGCUAACUUCGUGCCAGCAGCCGCGGUAAUACGAAGGGACCUAGCGUAGUUCGGAAUUACUGGGCUUAAAGAGUUCGUAGGUGGUUAAAAAAGUUGGUGGUGAAAUCCCAGAGCUUAACUCUGGAACUGCCAUCAAAACUUUUUAGCUAGAGUAUGAUAGAGGAAAGUAGAAUUUCUAGUGUAGAGGUGAAAUUCGUAGAUAUUAGAAAGAAUACCAAUUGCGAAGGCAGCUUUCUGGAUCAUUACUGACACUGAGGAACGAAAGCAUGGGUAGCGAAGAGGAUUAGAUACCCUCGUAGUCCAUGCCGUAAACGAUGUGUGUUAGACGUUGGAAAUUUAUUUUCAGUGUCGCAGCGAAAGCAGUAAACACACCGCCUGGGGA